Molecule: long non-coding RNA, 1120 nt
Organism: Cyprinus carpio carpio
Lineage: Eukaryota; Metazoa; Chordata; Actinopteri; Cypriniformes; Cyprinidae
Source: Ensembl
AUACAAGGCAACCUGAAACGAAGACGUCCAAUCAGAACACAUUUAUAGUUUAGUAGAGCAUUAAUUUGGACCAAUGAGAUUUCACUGUGGGCGUGGCUUCCCGGCGUACCGCAAUACAUAGUGGCCCUGUCCCAAAUGGCGCACUUCAUGUGGACUUUCGGUCUCGUGGACUUAAAUUGCGCGUGCUCGCCGAGUCUACGAGUCCGUAGCGGUCCGUAAGCCAUCCCAUUCAGCAUUUUAACGCUCUGAAGUGUGCUCAGCAGCGCCUCCUUUGUACCCUUGAAGCGGUCUCCCGCGAAGCCCGCAUAGAUGCAGGCUCCGCACACUUUAACUACCCAGGAAUCCUUGCGAAAUGCCAAUCAGACAACGGAUGGGAGGAGAUUUCGCUCAAAGCAAUUGAUGACAUGGCUGAGAAGAAAAUAUUUAAGUAAAUAUUCCCUUAGCAAGCAAAGGCAGCUGUGAAAGGAAGUUGUGGCAGAGGGAAUCACACAUUGACGACCCACCCAUAUGAUGUAAAUUGUGGUUGAUCUGGAGCACUGAACCCUCAUGUCACAAUGGGAGUUCCUGUCACAUUACUGACAAAAGAAAACAAAAGAGGUCACAGUAAAUUACAUGUUAAAGAUCCCCAGACACAGAAGGGACAUGCUGACAUCAUGCAGAUGAAUGAUGAGAGAGGUAUGUAAUUAACUACAGUAUAUUGGAAGUCAUACCCUGAGCCUUUUAUGGUCUGCUAGAGGGAGACCUCAGGAGACACGACCAACGGCAACACUAUCAGACUCUCCCGAGUUGUUUGAAGGUAACUUAAAAUCAACAUUAUUUACUUUCUUAACCCAAAAUCCUGGGCCCAUAUUUGUGAAAAAUCUUAGUGCUAAGAGUUGUGUCUCCUUGUAAGAAAAUUCUUAGAAAUGUGGGUGUUUCCUCUUAGAAUGAAAAAAAAGAUCCUAGUAAAGAAAAAAGUAAUUCAGAAAGCACCUUAACCCUUAAAAGAGCUCUUAAGGUCCAAAAUUGUUAGGAGUACUGACGAAGACUUUUAAGAGGCUUAAGAGUUUCUUAAGCAGUAGAGAAAAUCAAUGACACCUGACGAGGGAGAAGAAAUGCAUAUUUGCACACAAUGCAUAAG